GAUGAAGAACGCAGCGAAAUGCGAUAAGUAAUGUGAAUUGCAGAAUUCAGUGAAUCAUCGAAUCUUUGAACGCACAUUGCGCCCGCCAGUAUUCUGGCGGGCAUGCCUGUUCGAGCGUCAUUUCAACCAUCAAGCCCCCGGCUUGUGUUGGGGACCUGCGGCUGCCGCAGGCCCUGAAAAGCAGUGGCGGGCUCGCUGUCACACCGAGCGUAGUAGCAUACAUCUCGCUCUGGGCGUGCUGCGGGUUCCGGCCGUUAAACCACCCUUUUAACCCAAGGUUGACCUCGGAUCAGGUAGGAAGACCCGCUGAACUUAAGCAUAUCAAUAAGCGGAGGA
This 336-nucleotide unclassified non-coding RNA is filed under the name soil metagenome. RNAcentral's name for it is "partial contains 5.8S ribosomal RNA, internal transcribed spacer 2, and large subunit ribosomal RNA". The stretch from base 1 to 120 matches the Rfam family "5.8S ribosomal RNA", at positions 35 to 154 of the family's 154-position model. The record is from RNAcentral.